GGGCGGUUAGCUCAGUUGGUAGAGCUCCUGACUUACAUUCAGGCGGCCGUUGGUUCGAGUCCAGCACCGCCCA
Molecule: transfer RNA, 73 nt
Filed under: Candidatus Omnitrophota bacterium
Lineage: Bacteria; Pseudomonadati; Candidatus Omnitrophota
Description: tRNA-Val
Rfam family: tRNA
About the family: Transfer RNA (tRNA) molecules are approximately 80 nucleotides in length. Their secondary structure includes four short double-helical elements and three loops (D, anti-codon, and T loops).
Source: RNAcentral